GAUGAACGCUGGCGGCGUGCCUAAUACAUGCAAGUCGAGCGAACAGACGAGGAGCUUGCUCCUCUGACGUUAGCGGCGGACGGGUGAGUAACAUGUGGAUAACCUACCUAUAAGACUGGGAUAACUUCGGGAAACCGGAGCUAAUACCGGAUAAUAUAUUGAACCGCAUGGUUCAAUAGUGAAAGACGGUUUUGCUGUCACUUAUAGAUGGAUCCGCGCCUCAUUAGCUAGUUGGUAAGGUAACGGCUUACCAAGGCAACGAUGCGUAGCCGACCUGAGAGGGUGAUCGGCCACCCUGGAACUGAGACACGGUCCAGACUCCUACGGGAGGCAGCAGUAGGGAAUCUUCCGCAAUGGGCGAAAGCCUGACGGAGCAACGCCGAGUGAGUGAUGAAGGUCUUCGGCUCGUAAAGCUCUGUUAUUAGGGAAGAACAAAUGUGUAAGUAACUACGCACGUCUUGACGGUACCUAAUCAGAAAGCCACGGCUAACUACGUG
Molecule: ribosomal RNA, 497 nt
Filed under: uncultured bacterium
Lineage: Bacteria
Description: partial 16S ribosomal RNA
Rfam family: Bacterial small subunit ribosomal RNA
Source: RNAcentral